Molecule: long non-coding RNA, 399 nt
Filed under: Setaria italica (foxtail millet)
Lineage: Eukaryota; Viridiplantae; Streptophyta; Magnoliopsida; Poales; Poaceae
Description: long non-coding RNA (SITA_LNC005473)
Source: RNAcentral
GAUGGGAUGGUUUAAUUUAAGCGCAUUUGUAGCCGGGCGGGACGGCGCAGCCGCAGUUGAGGAGCACCUCGAGCGCGAUGGGCACGUAGACGGAGAGGUCCAGCACCUUGGCCUUGAGGGCGGUGCACAGGCACGCGGCCGCGGAGAGGCCGGCGACGCCCUUCACGAGCGGGCAGCACUUGACGUUGGCGUCGCCGACGUGCACCUCGUUCCCGAGGAUGUCCACGCACGCGCCGAGCUUCAGCGCGUCGAUGGGGCACUUGUCCGACGACGGCGCCGGCGUCGGGGUCGGUGGUGUCGGGGGCGGCGGGCACCCCUUCCGGCCUCCGGGCGUCAACGGCGGGAGGGGGACUGACGGCAGGGGGACCGACGGAAUGGGGACCGUCGGGAUGGCGACUG